AUACGUAGGGGGCGAGCGUUGUCCGGAUUUAUUGGGCGUAAAGGGUGCGUAGGCGGCCUUGUAAGUCAGAUGUGAACGAUCAUGGCUUAAAUGUGGUAAGCAUUUGAAACUGCAGGACUUGAGUGCUGGAGGGGAUAGCGGAAGUCCUAGUGGAGCGGUAAAAUGCGCAGAUCUUAGGAAGAACACCGGUGGCGAAGGCGGCUAUCAGGACAGUAACUGACGCUGAGGCGCGAAAUCGUGGGGAGCAAACAGGAUUAGAUACCCGGGUAGUCCACGCCGUAAACGAUGAAUACUAGGUGUAGGGGGUAUCGACUCCCUCUGUGCCGCAGUUAACACAAUAAGUAUUCCGCCUGGGGAGUACGGCCGCAAGGUUGAAACUCAAAGGAAUUGACGGGG
This 396-nucleotide ribosomal RNA is filed under the name uncultured bacterium. RNAcentral's name for it is "partial 16S ribosomal RNA". It matches the Rfam family "Bacterial small subunit ribosomal RNA", at positions 523 to 918 of the family's 1533-position model. The record is from RNAcentral.